UACGUAGGGGGCAAGCGUUGUCCGGAAUUAUUGGGCGUAAAGCGCGUGUAGGCGGCUCGGUAAGUCUGCUGUGAAAGUCCAAGGCUCAACCUUGGAAAGCCGGUGGAUACUGUCGAGCUCGAGUCCGGAAGAGGCGAGUGGAAUUCCUGGUGUAGCGGUGAAAUGCGCAGAUAUCAGGAGGAACACCAAUGGCGAAGGCAGCUCGCUGGGACGGUACUGACGCUGAGACGCGAAAGCGUGGGGAGCGAACAGG
RNAcentral lists this ribosomal RNA (253 nucleotides) under uncultured bacterium. RNAcentral's name for it is "partial 16S ribosomal RNA". It matches the Rfam family "Bacterial small subunit ribosomal RNA", at positions 524 to 776 of the family's 1533-position model. The record is from RNAcentral.